This 1439-nucleotide ribosomal RNA is filed under the name uncultured organism. Its description in RNAcentral is "SSU rRNA". It matches the Rfam family "Bacterial small subunit ribosomal RNA". The record is from RNAcentral.
AGGCUUAACACAUGCAAGUCGAGGGGCAGCAUGGUCUUAGCUUGCUAAGGCCGAUGGCGACCGGCGCACGGGUGAGUAACGCGUAUCCAACCUGCCUUACACUCUUGGACAGCCUUCUGAAAGGGAGAUUAAUACAAGAUGUUAUCAUGAGUAAGCAUUUUCGCAUGAUUAAAGGUUUACCGGUGUAAGAUGGGGAUGCGUUCCAUUAGAUAGUAGGCGGGGUAACGGCCCACCUAGUCUUCGAUGGAUAGGGGUUCUGAGAGGAAGGUCCCCCACAUUGGAACUGAGGCACGGUCCAAACUCCUACGGGAGGCAGCAGUGAGGAAUAUUGGUCAAUGGACGAGAGUCUGAACCAGCCAAGUAGCGUGAAGGAUGAAGGUUCUAUGGAUUGUAAACUUCUUUUAUACGGGAAUAAACGAAUCCACGUGUGGAUUUUUGCAUGUACCGUAUGAAUAAGGAUCGGCUAACUCCGUGCCAGCAGCCGCGGUAAUACGGAGGAUCCGAGCGUUAUCCGGAUUUAUUGGGUUUAAAGGGAGCGUAGAUGGGUUGUUAAGUCAGUUGUGAAAGUUUGCGGCUCAACCGUAAAAUUGCAAUUGAUACUGGCAGUCUUGAGUACAGUUGAGGUAGGCGGAAUUCGUGGUGUAGCGGUGAAAUGCUUAGAUAUCACGAAGAACUCCGAUUGCGAAGGCAGCUUACUAACCUGUAACUGACAUUGAUGCUCGAAAGUGUGGGUAUCAAACAGGAUUAGAUACCCUGGUAGUCCACACGGUAAACGAUGAAUACUCGCUGUAGGCGAUAUACAGUCUGCGGCCAAGCGAAAGCAUUAAGUAUUCCACCUGGGGAGUACGCCGGCAACGGUGAAACUCAAAGGAAUUGACGGGGGCCCGCACAAGCGGAGGAACAUGUGGUUUAAUUCGAUGAUACGCGAGGAACCUUACCCGGGCUUAAAUUGCAACCGAAUAUGGCGGAAACGCUAUAGCUAGCAAUAGCGGUUGUGAAGGUGCUGCAUGGUUGUCGUCAGCUCGUGCCGUGAGGUGUCGGCUUAAGUGCCACAACGAGCGCAACCCUUGCCGAUAGUUACUAACAGGUCAUGCUGAGGACUCUGUCGGGACUGCCAUCGUAAGAUGUGAGGAAGGUGGGGAUGACGUCAAAUCAGCACGGCCCUUACGUCCGGGGCUACACACGUGUUACAAUGGGGGGUACAGAGGGCUGCUACCACGCAAGUGGAUGCCAAUCCCAAAAACCUCUCUCAGUUCGGAUUGAAGUCUGCAACCCGACUUCAUGAAGCUGGAUUCGCUAGUAAUCGCGCAUCAGCCACGGCGCGGUGAAUACGUUCCCGGGCCUUGUACACACCGCCCGUCAAGCCAUGGGAGCCGGGGGUACCUGAAGUGCGUAACCGCAAGGAGCGCCCUAGGGUAAAACUGGUGACUGGGGCUAAG